RNAcentral lists this ribosomal RNA (301 nucleotides) under uncultured bacterium. RNAcentral's name for it is "partial 16S ribosomal RNA". It matches the Rfam family "Bacterial small subunit ribosomal RNA", at positions 509 to 807 of the family's 1533-position model. The record is from RNAcentral.
CAGCAGCCACGGGAAUACGGAGGGUGCAAGCGUUAAUCGGAAUUACUGGGCGUAAAGCGCACGCAGGCGGUCUGACAAGUCAGAUGUGAAAUCCCCGGGCUUAACCUGGGAACUGCAUUUGAAACUGUCAGGCUGGAGUCUUGUAGAGGGGGGUGGAAUUCCAGGUGUAGCGGUGAAAUGCGUAGAGAUCUGGAGGAAUACCGGUGGCGAAGGCGGCCCCCUGGACAAAGACUGACGCUCAGGUGCGAAAGCGUGGGGAGCAAACAGGAUUAGAUACCCCUGUAGUCCCUGUCUCUUAUAC